UACGUAGGGUGCAAGCGUUAAUCGGAAUUACUGGGCGUAAAGCGUGCGCAGGCGGUUGUGCAAGACAGAUGUGAAAUCCCCGGGCUCAACCUGGGAACUGCAUUUGUGACUGCACGGCUGGAGUGCGGCAGAGGGGGAUGGAAUUCCGCGUGUAGCAGUGAAAUGCGUAGAUAUGCGGAGGAACACCGAUGGCGAAGGCAAUCCCCUGGGCCUGCACUGGACGCUCAUGCACGAAAGCGUGGGGAGCAAACAGG
RNAcentral lists this ribosomal RNA (254 nucleotides) under uncultured bacterium. RNAcentral's name for it is "partial 16S ribosomal RNA". It matches the Rfam family "Bacterial small subunit ribosomal RNA", at positions 524 to 776 of the family's 1533-position model. The record is from RNAcentral.